ACCGGGCACGGGGGCGCAUGCCUGUAGUUCCAGCUACUCGGGAGGCUGAGGCUGGAAGAUCGCUUGAGCCCAGGAGUUCUGGGCUGCAGUGCCCUAUGCUGAUUGGGUAUCUGUACUAACUUCGGCAUCAAUAUGGUGACCUCCCAGAAGCGGGGGACCACCAGGUUGCCUAAGGAGGGGUGAACCGGCCCAGGUUGGAAACAGAGCAGGUCAAAACUCCCGUGCUGAUCAGUAAUGGGAUCACAACUGCACUCUAGCCUGGGCAACAUAGCAAGAUCCCAUCUCU
RNAcentral lists this signal recognition particle RNA (286 nucleotides) under Saimiri boliviensis boliviensis (Bolivian squirrel monkey). Its description in RNAcentral is "Metazoan signal recognition particle RNA (ENSSBOG00000003597.1)". It matches the Rfam family "Metazoan signal recognition particle RNA". Rfam says of the family: The signal recognition particle (SRP) is a universally conserved ribonucleoprotein. The record is from RNAcentral. Lineage: Eukaryota; Metazoa; Chordata; Mammalia; Primates; Cebidae.